RNAcentral lists this ribosomal RNA (478 nucleotides) under uncultured bacterium. Its description in RNAcentral is "bacterial SSU rRNA". It matches the Rfam family "Bacterial small subunit ribosomal RNA", at positions 23 to 518 of the family's 1533-position model. The record is from RNAcentral.
CUCAGGACGAACGCUGGCGGCGUGCCUAACACAUGCAAGUCGAGCGAGGAGAUCCUUCGGGAUGAUCCUAGCGGCGGACGGGUGAGUAACACGUGGGCAACCUGCCUCAUAGAGAGGAAUAGCCUUCCGAAAGGGAGAUUAAUACCUCAUAACAUUGCAGUUUCGCAUGGAACAGCAAUUAAAGGAGCAAUCCACUAUGAGAUGGGCCCGCGGCGCAUUAGCUAGUUGGUGAGGUAACGGCUCACCAAGGCGACGAUGCGUAGCCGACCUGAGAGGGUGAUCGGCCACAUUGGGACUGAGACACGGCCCAGACUCCUACGGGAGGCAGCAGUGGGGAAUAUUGCACAAUGGGGGAAACCCUGAUGCAAGCAACGCCGCGUGAGUGAUGACGGCCUUCGGGUUGUAAAGCUCUGUCUUCAGGGACGAUAAUGACGGUACCUGAGGAGGAAGCCACGGCUAACUACGUGCCAGCAGCGGC